CCUACGUGGUGCUGCAGUGGGGAAUAUUGGACAAUGGGCGAAAGCCUGAUCCAGCCAUGCCGCGUGUGUGAAGAAGGCCUUCGGGUUGUAAAGCACUUUCAGUGGGGAAGAAAGCCUUGGGGCUAAUACCCUCGAGGAAGGACAUCACCCACAGAAGAAGCACCGGCUAACUCCGUGCCAGCAGCCGCGGUAAUACGGAGGGUGCGAGCGUUAAUCGGAAUUACUGGGCGUAAAGCGCGCGUAGGCGGUCUGAUAAGCCGGUUGUGAAAGCCCCGGGCUCAACCUGGCAACGGCAUCCGGAACUGUCAGGCUAGAGUGCAGGAGAGGAAGGUAGAAUUCCCGGUGUAGCGGUGAAAUGCGUAGAGAUCGGGAGGAAUACCAGUGGCGAAGGCGGCCUUCUGGACUGACACUGACGCUGAGGUGCGAAAGCGUGGGUAGCAAACAGGAUUAGAUACCCCUGUAUC
This 464-nucleotide ribosomal RNA is filed under the name Vreelandella stevensii. RNAcentral describes it as "partial 16S ribosomal RNA". It matches the Rfam family "Bacterial small subunit ribosomal RNA", at positions 338 to 794 of the family's 1533-position model. The record is from RNAcentral. Lineage: Bacteria; Pseudomonadati; Pseudomonadota; Gammaproteobacteria; Oceanospirillales; Halomonadaceae.